RNAcentral lists this ribosomal RNA (501 nucleotides) under uncultured bacterium. Its description in RNAcentral is "partial 16S ribosomal RNA". It matches the Rfam family "Bacterial small subunit ribosomal RNA", at positions 30 to 523 of the family's 1533-position model. The record is from RNAcentral.
AUUGAACGCUGGCGGCAGGCUUAACACAUGCAAGUCGAGCGGAGAUGAGGUGCUUGCACCUUAUCUUAGCGGCGGACGGGUGAGUAAUGCUUAGGAAUCUGCCUAUUAGUGGGGGACAACAUUCCGAAAGGAAUGCUAAUACCGCAUACGUCCUACGGGAGAAAGCAGGGGAUCUUCGGACCUUGCGCUAAUAGAUGAGCCUAAGUCGGAUUAGCUAGUUGGUGGGGUAAAGGCCUACCAAGGCGACGAUCUGUAGCGGGUCUGAGAGGAUGAGCCGCGACACGGGGACUGAGACACGGCCCAGACUCCUACGGGUGGCGGCAGUGGGGAAUAUUGGACAAUGGGGGAAACCCUGAUCCAGCCAUGCCGCGUGUGUGAAGAAGGCCUUAUGGUUGUGAAGCACUUUAAGCGAGGAGGAGGCUACUGAGACUAAUACUCUUGGAUAGUGGACGUUACUCGCAGAAUAAGCACCGGCUAACUCUGUGCCAGCCGCCGCAGUAA